ACUGGAUUCCCAGAGGACAAGAGCUACCAGACCUUUCUGCAGGAACACUGCUUCAACAAGACUGCUUCAUCUGGACUGCUACCACCACGGUUUUAGCCUCACUAUUCUGCAUACCCAGACCUUCUUUGUUCACAGAAUUCAUCCAUGGGACAAAUUAAGACUGCUCCUGUAACCAGCAAGUAAUUUGUUUAAGAUAACAGGAAUAAUGAACACAUACUAUCAUGGAACCUGGGGAAAAAAGCUGUGGCAGAGGCAGAAAAAGGUCAUCUUGUCCAUUGACUGCACAAUGAGGGAAUUAAGGAUUCUGCAAAACUCUUGUGGGGUGUCUGGUUAACCUGAGUGUAAAGGGCUCCAGUGAUGAAUUCUCUAUGUCAUUCUUAGGCAGAUUGCAUAUUUGCUUCACUUCAUUUAGAAAACUUUUUUUCAUAUAUUGUCUGAAUCUUCUUUUUGUGAUUUUAGCCUUUUUUUUUGA
This is a long non-coding RNA of Hirundo rustica (Barn swallow), 472 nucleotides long. RefSeq lists it as uncharacterized. Lineage: Eukaryota; Metazoa; Chordata; Aves; Passeriformes; Hirundinidae. The record is from RefSeq and is a predicted model, not a curated record. The transcript is spliced from 3 exons.